RNAcentral lists this ribosomal RNA (400 nucleotides) under uncultured bacterium. RNAcentral describes it as "bacterial SSU rRNA". It matches the Rfam family "Bacterial small subunit ribosomal RNA", at positions 356 to 773 of the family's 1533-position model. The record is from RNAcentral.
GGGGAAUAUUGCACAAUGGAGGAAACUCUGAUGCAGCAACGCCGCGUGAGUGAUGAAGGUCUUCGGAUUGUAAAACUCUGUCUUAUGGGACGAUAAUGACGGUACCAUAGGAGGAAGCCACGGCUAACUACGUGCCAGCAGCCGCGGUAAUACGUAGGUGGCAAGCGUUGUCCGGAUUUACUGGGCGUAAAGGGUGCGUAGGCGGAUGUUUAAGUGAGAUGUGAAAUACCCGGGCUUAACUUGGGUGCUGCAUUUCAAACUGGAUAUCUAGAGUGCAGGAGAGGAGAAUGGAAUUCCUAGUGUAGCGGUGAAAUGCGUAGAGAUUAGGAAGAAUACCAGUGGCGAAGGCGGCUUUCUGGACUGUAACUGACGCUGAGGCAUGAAAGCGUGGGGAGCAAAC